This 468-nucleotide ribosomal RNA is filed under the name uncultured bacterium. Its description in RNAcentral is "partial 16S ribosomal RNA". It matches the Rfam family "Bacterial small subunit ribosomal RNA", at positions 28 to 507 of the family's 1533-position model. The record is from RNAcentral.
GACGAACGCUGGCGGCGUGCUUAACACAUGCAAGUCGAACGGAAAGGCCCUGCUUGUGUGGGGUGCUCGAGUGGCGAACGGGUGAGUAACACGUGAGUAACCUGCCCUUGACUUUGGGAUAACUUCAGGAAACUGGGGAUAAUACCGGAUAGGAGCUCCUGCUGCAUGGGGGGGGUUGGAAAGUUUAGGCGGUUGGGGAUGGACUCGCGGCUUACCAGCUUGUUGGUGGGGUAGUCGCUUACCAAGGGUUUGACGGGUAGCCGGCCUGAGAGGGUGACCGGGCACAUGGGGACUGAGGUACGGACCAGACUCCUACGGGAGGCAGCAGGGGGGAAUAUUGCACAAUGGGCGGAAGCCUGAUGCAGAAACGCCGCGUGCGGGAUGACCGCCUUCGGGUUGUAAACCGCUUUCGCCUGUGACGAAGCGUGAGUGACGGUAAUGGGUAAAGAAGCACCGGCUAACUACGUG